AUCCCGCCGGAGGCGACCGCUGUGGGAGCCGAUUAGCCAUGCGAGUCGAGAGAAUAAGAUUCUCGGCAUACCGCUCAGUAACACGUGGAUAACUGCCCUGUGCUGGGGGAUAACCUCGCGAAAGUGAGAACAAUACCCCAUGGGUCACUAUGCCUGGAACGGUUAGUGGCUGAAAGCUCCGGCGGCACAGGAUGGGUCUGCGGCGUAUCAGGUCGUAGGGGGUGUAACGUACCUCCUAGCCUUCGACGCGUACGGGUUGUGAGAGCAAUUGCCCGGAGAUGGAUUCUGAGACACGAAUCCAGGCCCUACGGGGCGCAGCAGGCGCGAAAACUUGACAAUGCGAGAAAUCGUGAUCAGGGGACUCCAGUUGGCUGGAUCAAAAGUCCAGUCUGAACCGACUUUAAAUCGGUCGGGUAAUAGGGGCGGGAAAGACCGGUGCCAGCCGCCGCGGUAAUACCGGCGCCCCAAGUGGUCGUCACUAUUAUUGGGCCUAAAACGUCCGUAGCCGGUUUGGUAAAUCCGUGGGUAAAUCAGACAGCCUAACUGUCUGAAUUCUGCGGGGACUGCCAGACUUGAGACCGGGAGAGGUGCGGGGUACUUGCGGGGUACCGGUAAAAUGGGAUCAUCCCGUAGAGACCACCUGUUGCGAAGGCGCCGCACUAGAACGGAUCUGACGGUCAGGGACGAAGGCUAGGGGCACGAACCGGAUUAGAUACCCGGGUAGUCCUAGGUGUAAACGCUGUGGACUUGGUGUCGGGGACCUUCUGAGGGUUUCCGGUGCCGGAGUGAAGAUGUUAAGUCCACUGCCUGGGGAGUACGGUCG
RNAcentral lists this ribosomal RNA (823 nucleotides) under uncultured Candidatus Poseidoniales archaeon. RNAcentral describes it as "SSU rRNA". It matches the Rfam family "Archaeal small subunit ribosomal RNA", at positions 11 to 843 of the family's 1478-position model. Lineage: Archaea; Methanobacteriati; Thermoplasmatota; Candidatus Poseidoniia; Candidatus Poseidoniales. The record is from RNAcentral.